CAAACUUCAUUUCCACUGCUUUUGAAACUCUCUCAUAUCACAGGAACAUGGCAAAGAAACCUGUCAAGUACUAGUGGUACAGGUGGACGCGUUCACUGACUCAGCUUUCAAGCAGCAGUGUGUUUUUUAGAAGAACAGAGAGAUGAGCAAUGGUUGCAAGCUGUGGCCGCUGAGUUCAACACCCCAAUGACUUGUUACUUGACUCGGUCAACUGGGUCCGACUCUCUUGGCUCGCCCAAUCCUAGGUUCCGUAUCAGAUAUUUCACUCCAUUCGCUGAGAUUGAGCCUCAAACUCGGAUCGAAGAUCGGUCUUCCUUGCCUCGACGUGCUGCCUGACGGCGCCGCCCCUCAGCCUCAAGCCUCCUUGCUCCCUCAACCUCAAAGUUGUACUCCCAUCAGGAGAAAGUAUGGUUAAAAUACAGCCAGUGUCUGAUACUAUACGUAAAUGUCCUGGAAUGGAGAUAAUAGUUUCAGGGGUUGCUCCCUCAGGGUCUGGGUUUGAUUUUUACAGUCGGUUCUUUUGCCCAAAACUUGGGAUCAAUGAGGUAAACUAUGUCAGCCUUUGGUCUCAGCAUAUUGCUAUGUUUGUGAAGUGCAUGAUGUUAUAGCUAAAUAUCUAUUGCAUCUCUUUACUGUGCUAAUAAUAUAUUUUAUAAUUUUGUUAGCAUGAUCUCUUGAGAUAUAUAAUUCAACAAGUUGUGGAAGGGACUUUUGUAAGGUCAAUAAUGUUUAAUGUAAUAAUUAUUGCUUGAAGUUGAAGAAUGGAAUUAUGAUGCUAAUGCCAUAAACAAAAAAGAGAUGUUAUUUAACCUCAUUUUAUCCUUACUCUUUCCGGCUCCUGUUUGUGGAAAUGCAUAUUAUGCCUUGGCACCAUACUGGAGCAAGAAACUGGGGAAGUGUGAUUUUGUUGCGUAUCAGGCAUCAUCUAGAAGUGGAGUGCUAAACAUUCAUCUAGACGAACAAAACGAGAGAGUACUACUGCGAGGAAAAGCUGUCACUGUCAUGGAAGGGUCUCUUUUAGUUUAAACAUUUUUGAAUUAAAACACUAUAUUGCAUAUGUUUUACAAUUGAAAUAAAUGUCUAUAACUGUAUGGAAGAAUCCCCUGGAGCUGGAGUUGAAAUUUCAGAUUGUAUAGCUUUUUUGCUGAAAAGAUUGUAUAACUGAUUUAAGUUCUUGUUUGUAUGUAUAUAUAUUACAAGGAAGAAGCCUAAAUAGCUAGAGAGUGUGCGGUAAGAUUUACAUGCCUUAGAACAACCUCGUUUUUUCCCAACUGUCAGAGAACUAGGUGGCUACCAUUGAUAUUCUCAUCAUUAUUUUAACAACUUGUAAAGAUGAUAAGUUAUGAUUAUAUUAAAUUAAUAUCUA
This is a long non-coding RNA of Quercus robur (English oak), 1366 nucleotides long. RefSeq lists it as uncharacterized. Lineage: Eukaryota; Viridiplantae; Streptophyta; Magnoliopsida; Fagales; Fagaceae. The record is from RefSeq and is a predicted model, not a curated record. The transcript has 5 exons.